CAUGGUUUUUUUAAUUCAUUAUUUAUUUAUUUUACAUAUAAAUUUUAGUGAAUAUUUUUAAUUUUUUUAAAAAUAAUUAAUUUUUUAUAGUAGUAAUUAUUAUUAAAAAUUUAAGAAAUUAUGAUUUAGUAAUAUAAAAUUUUUAAUAACAAAUUUUGUGCCAGCAGUUGCGGUUAUACAAAAAUUUAUAUGAAUUUUAUUAGUGAUUAAUUAAAAGUUUAAAUUUUAUUAUUUUAAAUGUUAAAUUAUUAAGUGAAAUUUUAAUUUAAUUAAAAAAUAAGUUAUUUUUGAUUUUAAUAAAUUUAAAAAAUUAAACUAGGAUUAGAUACCCUAUUAUUAUAAAUUUAAAUUUUGAAUACUAAAAUAGUAAUUAUUAUUAAUAUUGAAACUUAAAUGAUUUGGCGGUAUUUUAGUUUAUUCAGAGGAAUCUGUUUAAUAAUUGAUAAUCCACGAAUAAAUUUACUUAAUUUUUUUUUUAUUUUAUAUAUCGUUGUUAAAAAAAUAUUUUUAAAUAAUAAAUAAUAUUUUAAAAUUUUUAAUUAAAAUUAAAUCAGAUCAAGAUGUAGAUUAUAAUUAAGAAUAUAAUGGAUUACAAUAAAUUUAUUUAAAUGAAUGUUAAUUUGGAAAAAUUAAUUAAAGGUGGAUUUGAAUGUAAUUUUAUUUAGUUUAUUAAAAUGAUUAAUAAUUAAAAUAUGUACAUAUUGCCCGUCGCUUUCAUUUAUAAAUUGAAAUAAGUCGUAACAAAGUAGAGGUACUGGAAAGUGUUUCUAGAAAGAU
RNAcentral lists this non-coding RNA (777 nucleotides) under Monema flavescens. Lineage: Eukaryota; Metazoa; Arthropoda; Insecta; Lepidoptera; Limacodidae. The record is from RNAcentral.